Small nuclear RNA from Apodemus sylvaticus (European woodmouse), 142 nucleotides. RefSeq annotates it as U4 spliceosomal RNA. The record is from RefSeq and is a predicted model, not a curated record. The transcript has a single exon. NCBI's taxonomy places the organism in Eukaryota, Metazoa, Chordata, Mammalia, Rodentia, Muridae.
AGCUUUGUGCAGUGGCAGUAUCAUAGCCAAUGAGGUUUAUCCGAGGCUCGAUUAUUGCUAAUUGAAAACUUUUCCCACAAAUGAUGUCACUGAAAACAGGUUAUUUACUAAUUAUUAGUCCUUACAUGUAUAUGAAUUGUAA